Molecule: long non-coding RNA, 144 nt
Filed under: Dasypus novemcinctus (nine-banded armadillo)
Lineage: Eukaryota; Metazoa; Chordata; Mammalia; Cingulata; Dasypodidae
Description: Myocardial infarction associated transcript exon 5 conserved region 1 (ENSDNOG00000041276.1)
Rfam family: Myocardial infarction associated transcript exon 5 conserved region 1
About the family: MIAT (myocardial infarction associated transcript), also known as RNCR2 (retinal non-coding RNA 2) or Gomafu, is a noncoding RNA.
Source: RNAcentral
GCAUGACGUGCUGAACUGCUAACCCAGGGCUCGGCCGGCACCGCCGCGGCCCGUGACGGGUGCCUGGCCUUCUGUCCACCGACUAACCCACUAACCAGGCCCGAGCAUGCCCUACUAACCCCCCGCGGCCGGAACCUACUAACC